GAUGAACGCUGGCGGCGUGCCUAAUACAUGCAAGUAGAACGCUGAAGGAAGGAGCUUGCUCUUUCCGGAUGAGUUGCGAACGGGUGAGUAACGCGUAGGUAACCUGCCUGGUAGCGGGGGAUAACUAUUGGAAACGAUAGCUAAUACCGCAUAACAGUAGAUGUUGCAUGAUAUCUACUUAAAAGGUGCAAUUGCACCACUACCAGAUGGACCUGCGUUGUAUUAGCUAGUUGGUGAGGUAACGGCUCACCAAGGCGACGAUACAUAGCCGACCUGAGAGGGUGAUCGGCCACACUGGGACUGAGACACGGCCCAGACUCCUACGGGAGGCAGCAGUAGGGAAUCUUCGGCAAUGGACGGAAGUCUGACCGAGCAACGCCGCGUGAGUGAAGAAGGGUUUCGGAUCGUAAAGCUCGGUUGUAAGAGAAGAACGAGUGUGAGAGUGGAAAGUUCACACUGUGACGGUAUCUUACCAGAAAGGGACGGCUAACUACGUG
This 497-nucleotide ribosomal RNA is filed under the name uncultured bacterium. RNAcentral's name for it is "partial 16S ribosomal RNA". It matches the Rfam family "Bacterial small subunit ribosomal RNA", at positions 28 to 507 of the family's 1533-position model. The record is from RNAcentral.